GAUGAAGAACGUAGCGAAAUGCGAUACUUGGUGUGAAUUGCAGAAUCCCGUGAAUCAUCGAAUCUUUGAACGCACAUUGCGCCCCUUGGUAUUCCAUGGGGCAUGCCUGUUCGAGCGUCAUUUGUACCUUCAAGCUCUGCUUGGUGUUGGGUGUUUGUCUCGCCUCUGCGUGUAGACUCGCCUUAAAACAAUUGGCAGCCGGCGUAUUGAUUUCGGAGCGCAGUACAUCUCGCGCUUUGCACUCAUAACGACGACGUCCAAAAGUACAUUUUUACACUCUUGACCUCGGAUCAGGUAGGGAUACCCGCUGAACUUAAGCAUAUCAAUAAGCGGAGGA
This 337-nucleotide unclassified non-coding RNA is filed under the name soil metagenome. RNAcentral describes it as "partial contains 5.8S ribosomal RNA, internal transcribed spacer 2, and large subunit ribosomal RNA". The stretch from base 1 to 120 matches the Rfam family "5.8S ribosomal RNA", at positions 35 to 154 of the family's 154-position model. The record is from RNAcentral.